This 375-nucleotide long non-coding RNA is filed under the name Brachypodium distachyon (stiff brome). Its description in RNAcentral is "long non-coding RNA (BDIS_LNC005274)". Lineage: Eukaryota; Viridiplantae; Streptophyta; Magnoliopsida; Poales; Poaceae. The record is from RNAcentral.
UGGCAGCUCCUGCUUUUGUUGUCGUGUCGCUUGCCCGUGACGCAAUUGAUACCUAUAGGCUUGCUUUCCAUUGUGUGACCGUGCCGUGAGGUUUCUUGUGGUUCUUCGGUUUUUUCUGUCCGUCCUACCGGCCAGCUGCGUUUGGUCUGUUGGGAUAGUCUUUCUCUGUUUCGUCUUUGGCUUUUUUUCUUCUUUCGACCUCGGUCGCAUGUACAUAUACUUGGUUUUCCCCUUCUAAUAUUGCAUGGCAGAGCUACUGCCCUUCACGGCAAAAAAAAUAAAAAUACGUAGUAUUGCCUGGGCUUUCAGCCUUUCAGGUGGUUACUACUCCCUCCGUUCCUAAAUACUUGUCGCGAUCCGUUCCUAAAUACUUGU